RNAcentral lists this transfer RNA (85 nucleotides) under Felis catus (domestic cat). It matches the Rfam family "tRNA". From Rfam's summary of the family: Transfer RNA (tRNA) molecules are approximately 80 nucleotides in length. RNAcentral also lists the same sequence under 6 other names. The record is from Rfam by way of RNAcentral. Lineage: Eukaryota; Metazoa; Chordata; Mammalia; Carnivora; Felidae.
GAUUGGGUAGCUCAGUUGGUUAAGCAUCUGACUUUGGCUCAGGUCAUGAUCUCAUGGUUCGUGGGUUCGAGCCCUGCCUCAGGCU